Etheostoma cragini (Arkansas darter) is the source of this 838-nucleotide RNA transcript. It is a transcript of the gene named growth-regulated alpha protein-like, with no coding region annotated. The record is from RefSeq and is a predicted model, not a curated record. NCBI's taxonomy places the organism in Eukaryota, Metazoa, Chordata, Actinopteri, Perciformes, Percidae. The transcript is spliced from 6 exons.
CAAACACAUUUCUUAGGAAAACUGUUCCCUGAGAGAGUAUAAAAGUAAGGUGCAGAAAACAUGAUGCUCACAGUAUUGCACACUCAACACGGGAGGAUUCUUCAAAUCUGAAUAGAUGCCUGCAAAAACGAAAGGCUUUGCUUCAGUUUCUGAGAUACAAGGAUUCUACAUCAUUUAAGAUGAGGAUGACUUCUUCAAUCCAGUGCAUCAUUGUCCUAGCCUGCUGUAUAACUUACACUUCAAUGGCUAUUUUGAAGUGCCAGUGUGUAAAAAGAAGCAAGUCUCUUAAUGCCUCUCUCAUCGCUGGUGUCAAGGAGUAUCCGCCUCGUCCAUACUGCAACCAACAAGAAGUAAUUGCCAUACUGAAAGAUAAGCGCUUACAGUGUCUUGACCCCAGUUCAAAAUUCACCCAAGCAGUCCUGCAGACAAUAAAAAUGCAGAGGGCGUUCCAUGCUCAUAAGAGGAUCAUCACCAGCCCAAAAACAACCACAUCAUCAUCAUCAUAAUGCAAAGGUGUUUAUCAUCGUUGCAAUUAAAUAGAGAUAUCUAAUUUGUACACCUUCCCAAAUAAAGGGUAUGGUUGCUGUUUGUUUCUACAAAGUCAAACCCAGGGACUCGCUGAAACAAGUGAAAUAGUUUCACUUCAUUUGUUUAGAGUGUUGUUCACUGGAAGCUAAAAGUUAAUACUCCAUAACUGAGGAUGGGCACUUUUAGUAGACAGUUUGUGAAGCGAGAAUAUUCUUCCAGGUAAACAGAUGCGUGUAUGAAAUGUGAUUUAAGUAAGCUGGUAAGACUAUUGUAUUUCCAUCUUAAAAUAAUGCCUUAAGAUUUGAUUCAU